This 1222-nucleotide ribosomal RNA is filed under the name Bacillus toyonensis. Its description in RNAcentral is "partial 23S ribosomal RNA". It matches the Rfam family "Bacterial large subunit ribosomal RNA", at positions 1 to 1214 of the family's 2925-position model. Lineage: Bacteria; Bacillati; Bacillota; Bacilli; Caryophanales; Bacillaceae. The record is from RNAcentral.
GUUUGGUUAAGUUAGAAAGGGCGCACGGUGGAUGCCUUGACACUAGGAGUCGAUGAAGGACGGGACUAACGCCGAUAUGCUUCGGGGAGCUGUAAGUAAGCUUUGAUCCGAAGAUUUCCGAAUGGGGAAACCCACUAUACGUAAUGGUAUGGUAUCCUUACCUGAAUACAUAGGGUAUGGAAGACAGACCCAGGGAACUGAAACAUCUAAGUACCUGGAGGAAGAGAAAGCAAAUGCGAUUUCCUGAGUAGCGGCGAGCGAAACGGAAUCUAGCCCAAACCAAGAGGCUUGCCUCUUGGGGUUGUAGGACAUUCUAUACGGAGUUACAAAGGAACGAGGUAGACGAAGCGACCUGGAAAGGUCCGUCGUAGAGGGUAACAACCCCGUAGUCGAAACUUCGUUCUCUCUUGAAUGUAUCCUGAGUACGGCGGAACACGUGAAAUUCCGUCGGAAUCUGGGAGGACCAUCUCCCAAGGCUAAAUACUCCCUAGUGAUCGAUAGUGAACCAGUACCGUGAGGGAAAGGUGAAAAGCACCCCGGAAGGGGAGUGAAAGAGAUCCUGAAACCGUGUGCCUACAAAUAGUCAGAGCCCGUUAAUGGGUGAUGGCGUGCCUUUUGUAGAAUGAACCGGCGAGUUACGAUCCCGUGCGAGGUUAAGUUGAAGAGACGGAGCCGCAGCGAAAGCGAGUCUGAAUAGGGCGUUUAGUACGUGGUCGUAGACCCGAAACCAGGUGAUCUACCCAUGUCCAGGGUGAAGUUCAGGUAACACUGAAUGGAGGCCCGAACCCACGCACGUUGAAAAGUGCGGGGAUGAGGUGUGGGUAGCGGAGAAAUUCCAAUCGAACCUGGAGAUAGCUGGUUCUCCCCGAAAUAGCUUUAGGGCUAGCCUUAAGUGUAAGAGUCUUGGAGGUAGAGCACUGAUUGAACUAGGGGUCCUCAUCGGAUUACCGAAUUCAGUCAAACUCCGAAUGCCAAUGACUUAUCCUUAGGAGUCAGACUGCGAGUGAUAAGAUCCGUAGUCAAGAGGGAAACAGCCCAGAUCGCCAGCUAAGGUCCCAAAGUGUGUAUUAAGUGGAAAAGGAUGUGGAGUUGCUUAGACAACUAGGAUGUUGGCUUAGAAGCAGCCACCAUUUAAAGAGUGCGUAAUAGCUCACUAGUCGAGUGACUCUGCGCCGAAAAUGUACCGGGGCUAAAUACACCACCGAAGCUGCGAAUUGAUACC